AGAGUUUGAUCAUGGCUCAGAACGAACGCUGGCGGCAGGCCUAACACAUGCAAGUCGAGCGCAUAGCAAUAUGAGCGGCGGACGGGUUAGUAACGCGUGGGAACGUACCCUUUUCUUCGGAAUAGCUUUGGGAAACUGAAGGUAAUACCGGAUACGCCCUUUUGGGGAAAGAUUUAUCGGAGAAGGAUCGGCCCGCGUCUGAUUAGAUAGUUGGUGGGGUAAUGGCCUACCAAGUCUACGAUCAGUAGCUGGUUUGAGAGGAUGAUCAGCAACACUGGGACUGAGACACGGCCCAGACUCCUACGGGAGGCAGCAGUGGGGAAUCUUAGACAAUGGGCGCAAGCCUGAUCUAGCCAUGCCGCGUGAGUGAUGAAGGCCUUAGGGUCGUAAAGCUCUUUCGCUGGGGAAGAUAAUGACGGUACCCAGUAAAGAUCCCCAGGAUUUCGUU
Molecule: ribosomal RNA, 448 nt
Filed under: uncultured Ketogulonicigenium sp.
Lineage: Bacteria; Pseudomonadati; Pseudomonadota; Alphaproteobacteria; Rhodobacterales; Roseobacteraceae
Description: bacterial SSU rRNA
Rfam family: Bacterial small subunit ribosomal RNA
Source: RNAcentral